Molecule: ribosomal RNA, 519 nt
Filed under: Bifidobacterium longum subsp. suillum
Lineage: Bacteria; Bacillati; Actinomycetota; Actinomycetes; Bifidobacteriales; Bifidobacteriaceae
Description: bacterial SSU rRNA
Rfam family: Bacterial small subunit ribosomal RNA
Source: RNAcentral
AACGGGUGGUAAUGCCGGAUGUUCCAGUUGAUCGCAUGGUCUUCUGGGAAAGCUUUCGCGGUAUGGGAUGGGGUCGCGUCCUAUCAGCUUGACGGCGGGGUAACGGCCCACCGUGGCUUCGACGGGUAGCCGGCCUGAGAGGGCGACCGGCCACAUUGGGACUGAGAUACGGCCCAGACUCCUACGGGAGGCAGCAGUGGGGAAUAUUGCACAAUGGGCGCAAGCCUGAUGCAGCGACGCCGCGUGAGGGAUGGAGGCCUUCGGGUUGUAAACCUCUUUUAUCGGGGAGCAAGCGUGAGUGAGUUUACCCGUUGAAUAAGCACCGGCUAACUACGUGCCAGCAGCCGCGGUAAUACGUAGGGUGCAAGCGUUAUCCGGAAUUAUUGGGCGUAAAGGGCUCGUAGGCGGUUCGUCGCGUCCGGUGUGAAAGUCCAUCGCUUAACGGUGGAUCCGCGCCGGGUACGGGCGGGCUUGAGUGCGGUAGGGGAGACUGGAAUUCCCGGUGUAACGGUGGAAUGU